AGUAAACAAGAAAGUGAGCCUGGUGGAUCCCAAUGGCUGCCAUGUCUUCUGAUGUCAGGCAGUAGACUUGAAGGGUAGACGAAACAACAAGUUAUCUAUUAAGGCACCCAUACCCAGUUUCUAAGCAAAUACAGAGUGUGUUUCGUCUGCGGUGUCCUGCGAGGCAGACCCCUUCAUCAGAGGAGUCUUCCCCACCCCGCCAAGCCCUCCGCCAACUCACGAUGGGUAACUAUGUGGAAAGCCCUCUGCAGAAGUUACUCAGCAUGUAUUGAUCAUGCGAACCAAUCACCAGAGAUCAGAGAGUACUCCGUUUGCCACCUGAACUAUUGACCAGUGACCUCGAGCCCUUUUAGCAGAAGCACCUGUCCUUGCUGCUCUCCUGGGAAACUGAGAGGGGCUGACCCAAGGUGACCCAAGGAAAGCCAUCAGACAUGCCAGCCCUCGAACUUUAUUACCAGCCUCAAGAGACAGGAGGGAGUCUGCUCUCACCCUACCAGCACUGAAAGCUUCAGAGGCAGCUUCAUGCAGCUUCAGGAGCCCAGUCACCAGAGGCAACAAUUCCUGGGGCUUCACGGUAGAGAGCAGGAAACCGUGGCCACAGAAUAGCAGUGUUCACACCUGGAACACAGGAAGGGGCUUGGGAUGCUUGGCAACAGAAGUCCAUGAGGAAGACAGCCUCAUACACAGCAGGUUCUUUUUUUCGGAGCUGGGGACCGAACCCAGGGCCUUACGCUUCCUAGGUAAGCGCUCUACCACUGAGCUAAACCCCCAGCCCCUGGAUAACUUCUUGACUUGCAUCAGUGUCUGUCACAGAGCUGCUGUGGAGAUCAAUAUCAGCUUAUAGAUGCACAGCACUAAGAAGAGGACCCAGCAGAGCACAUAAGUGAAAUUCCUACCAUAGCCAUCUGACCAAGUGCCGGGGUCCAAGCAGGUCGGACCAGGUUCAAGGAGUCCUUCAGAAAGAGGCCCUCUGGCUUUGGCCUUAGACAGACAGUGAGCUUUUACUGCAGAAAUUGCUGCCCUAAGUCUCCACACAGGUUGCCAGUCCCUGAGGCACAGGCAAUAGAAACAACACUGACUUGUGCCUGCCCCAACAACUGCCUAUAUCUGGAGCGAAGUGGCCGGCAAGCACACAGGAACCAGCACCGUUGGCAGGAAGCCUACAUUCUGCAAACACCAAGAGCAGGAAGUCCACUCACACCAAAGGGUCCCCCACCACGCCCCGUGAGAAGGAAGGGCCAGCCAGAGGGGAUGGGAUGGGUUAUUUCCUUUUCCAAGUAAGGCUUUGAAGAGUCGCUGCAGGGUGGCUAGAAACAGGGUGGCUAAGGGCGCACACAUGUUUCUCACACCCACCCGAUUCCUGACCUUAAUGUCACUUAAUAAGCCAGGCCCAGAGUCCUAUCUGCAAGGAGAAUUGCAAAUCACUUGGCCGGGGCUCCGCAUAUGAGGUGGCUUUGUAAUAUGAGCAGUGUGUCCACUAACUAGAGCAAGACCAUUAGGUCCAUUACACCUGUCACUCUGCCAGCUGAGUCGCCAAACUGCCAUGAUAAAAGUACAUUAUGCCCAAGGAGUGCCACCCAGCCCCCUUCCAGGCAGCACAUACUCAUCCGCUGCCCAGAGAACGCCACUGUAAACAGCUUGAAACUUGACUGUAGAUUACCUCGGGCUCUUAGCAGAUACAAAUGUUUCCCUUUCGUGGGAGGCUGGGAGGAGGAAUGUGGGUAUGGGGCAGAAGACCAAGAUGGGGACAGAGGUGGGCGGUCUUGUAAAAAAAUAAUAAUAAUAAUAAAAGGGAGGUGGGGAGCAGAUAUUUGGUAAGUGGAUUCUAUCAUAAAGCCCAAAAUAAAAGUGAGAGACACACCCUUUUCACCUCUAAGCCAGGUCCCAGCGCUGCAGGCAGCAGGCAGAGGCCUCUGUGCAGCUGUACUCCCACCAGGCCCCAAGAAAAGCACACAGCAGCUGAGCUGCUCAGUGGGUUUGCAGUGCAAGCCUGUUGCAGACAGCAGUAAUUUAUUUAUCCCUGUCAUGGAACAUUAACAAUCUGUCUGGAGCUUGGCAAGCACCAACUUGCACUGUCAUAUAAACUGUCUGACAAACCUAAAAGUUUCAUAAAUGCCUCUCUUUUCCCAGCAGACAACAAAACACGGUUCUUUUUUAAAAGUUGUCAUCUUCGCUGUUUCUUUUUCUCUCUUCCUCUUCCAAAAACUAAGGAAGGGAGGGAAAAGAAACCGAGAGAAAACUAGCAACGAAAAGAACCUAUGCGGUCACACGUGAUCUGUCAGUGAUCUCAGCCACUUCCCUAUUCUCCCGUAUCAAGUAAAUGAAUGAAUGGGGUGGGGGCGAUGUGGGGUCAGCUGUGAGGCUACUGGGGUACUGAAGCAAAAUCUGCAAAACAAAAAUACAGUCAUUAAAAAUUAAUAAAGGGUGUGGAUAUCCAGCCCCCACCUCGUUCCACUCAUGGGAAUUAGAGCCAGACAUUCUGCGUCCUCAUUAAGUGAAUGCUGGCAGGCUGUCAGGGUUUUAGUGGGUUCUGGGAAUGCCAAUAUAUUAACCAGAAGACUUUUUGCAUACCCUUUAGAGUUUUUAUUCUAGAAAAGUCAACCAUUUGGCACAGUAGAGCCUUAUUUUUGUCCAGGAAAGCUCUCGGCUGCCAAUCAAAGGAGAAAUUACAGCUACACUCUUCAGAAUUUCCAAGACCCAGCUGAAAAACAAGCUUGGUAGAGAGAGAAGUCCUCAAAAAAAAAUCCUAAAAAGGUCACAGUAUCAUUUUUAGUGGGAAUUCAAAGAAAAGCAAUCUAUCUUUAAAUCAAAUGGAUACAUAACAAUACAGACAUUAUUCUCAAGUCUUCCUGUAACAGAGGAAAACCAAUGUUAAUUGGAAAUUUGAAGCCAAUAUAUCUACAUCUGUGAACAGUCCAGGCAGUUGCUUAUUUCCUUUUCUUGUCCAACAUGAACAUGAGCAAUGCACACAUGUAACAUGAGCACAUGUGCACACCCACACACAAUCCCCCCCAAAAGUGGCAGGUGCUGGGGUUAUAAAAUUCAAAUAGUAUGCAGAUUUCUACCCAUAUUUGUGUGUGGGCUGUGUGUGUGUGUUUAUGUGUUUAUGGGUAUGCAUAUGUAUGUGCAGGCCAGAGAUCAACAUCAGGUCUUUUUUCAAUCUCUCUCCAUCGUAUGUUUUGAGUCAGGGUCUCUCACUGAAUCUAAGAGUUCCCCCAAUUCAGCCAGACUGGCUGGCUAGCAAGUUCCAAGUAUCUGCCCAGCUCUAUAUCUUCAGCACUGGCUUCUACAUGGGCACCAGGGAUGUUGAACCGGUCCCUAUACUUGCAUGCCAAGCAUCUUACGGACUAAGCCAUCUCCGCACGUCCCUAUUUUCUUAGGUUAAAACUCAUAUGCCACUUCUCAUGUACCCUCAAAAUAUAGGUCAAGAUGCAUUUCCUAUCUAACAGCCCAUGUUGGCAGUAAGUGACUCUGACAUCAGAGAAAUAAUGCCUUCUGGGAGAUUUUUCUCCAAAAGGAAAGGACUGAAGAAGCAGGGGACAAGCGCUCCGAGGAGAGAUGGAUGGACCAAGGAAGGAAAGGAAGACAGGGAUGCUGCAAUUUGCCACCAUUAACAGGUAAUGCAUGUGUCCGCAUGAAUAGUGUUGAAUAUCUAACAUUUUCCAGGCUUUCACAGCUGUUCCUUUCUGAGUGUCCCCUGUCAAUUCUGACCCCCCCCUCCCAAAAAAGACACAUAUCCCAGAGGCUCCAUACUCCCAAAUUCAGAAGAAAGAAGAGGAAACUUGACCAGGAUUUCUAUAGAUUUAACCAGUCUAUACACUUGCAUGUAUUCCUCCCCAGAAUCCUAUGGGCUUUGGCUUUAUAUGAUAACAGGACAGCCCUGCAUACUAUUUUAAAGUGGUUGACUUAAUGUGGGGUACAUGCACUGGGAUCCAGAGUUUGGGGUCUUUCCUUGCCAGCCAGCCAGAAGCAUAGGCAUUAUACCCGCAAGGCAUAAAAGUCAUCCUCUCUAGGUUCCUGCAAAGCUAGGAUUCAACUCCUCCAGCAACCUGGAUAAAAAACAGAAAGUGACCCAUGAGCCACAGGGCUCCUCUGCCAGGCUGUUAAGUCAAGCAAGACUACAGCACAGCCCCAAACUGUAAACACCUCUGCAGACAGGUCCUUGCUCUAACCGCGCCUGGCAAGAGAAUUAUCCUUGGAACAGUCCGAGGUUGGGGGAAAUGCUAGGGGCGUGAGAAUAAGCAUUCGCCUGUGGAUGUAUAUAUCCUAAUGGGCAGGGGUGGAGAAAGAACUGUUGAACCUGAAACGAUGUGCCAACAGAUUGCCACAAAAUCCCGUCAGAAGCAGCUGGCCCUGGCAGGAUUCCACUGCAGGAUCAUGGUCAUGAAAACCAAGCACCCAAGAGGAUUCAAGAGAUAGCCUUAAAUACCUGUGGGCAAGAGGCCCUCCAACACAAAUGCAAACUUACAGGAACUGAGGCCGUAGACAAGGGCAGCGAACUCUUCCAGUGGUUAAGAGCGGAACGCUAAGAAACUAGAGAGGUUUGUCGUUUUAACAAGGGGAACAGUACCUACAAAUCAGUAAAUCUGUGGCAUUUACAGUCCUAGCUCUAAUUCUUAACUGUAUUCUACAUUAAUCGAAAAGUUAAUCUGUUAAAGAAUUAAGCUAUCGCUGGGAUGACAGAAAACCAAUAUUAAAAUUCACAUAUAGGUAAUAGUCUGACCCAUUAUUGUCCACAUAAUGACUCAAGUUUGGUAUUGUUUCUCUACUGAACACAUAUUCUAUAUUCCAAAAAGAAUGUGCAAAGGCAAAUGUAUGAUGCCAGUAAGCUGAAUUUAAACCAUAGGGAAAGACUGUCAAUUUCUUUCAUCCAAAAUGAGGCCCAGGCUUGGGGUGUGCUCACUUCAUAGAACCUUCCAUGAAAUCCAAUACACUGUCCUGAAGGUCCAGAGUGAGAGGGUAAGGUUUGGGUGCACCCAAUAGAAACCAACAGAAAGAGGCAUUCUAAGGUGGGCCUAGCAAUGCUAGCCCUACAUAGCCCCUUACUUUUUGUACCAGGUGCUAGGAAAGCCAGGGUAUCAGCAUGCCAGGAAAACCAACUGCCACUAAAAGCUACCUCCCCACUCCAGCACUCUGAAGAUCCAGCAGGGUUCCCGUCUCUACCCUUCACAUCCCACAAUGCCUAACCCACAAAAACCCACUAUUACGUUCGGUCCCCAGCUCCAAAAAAAAAAAAAAAAAAAAAAAAAAAAAAAAAAAAAAAAAAAAAAAAAAAACACUAUUACAUAUCACAGUCAUAAUUAACUCUAACUUUUAGUGAGGAGUUCAGGGAUGGCAAUAUGGCAAAAUAAAUAAAUAACAAUGAAGAAGAGGAGGAGGUGGAGGAAGGAAAAA
Molecule: non-coding RNA, 5394 nt
Organism: Rattus norvegicus (Norway rat)
Lineage: Eukaryota; Metazoa; Chordata; Mammalia; Rodentia; Muridae
Source: RefSeq, a predicted model, not a curated record